AGCGUUGUUCGGAAUUACUGGGCGUAAAGGGCUCGUAGGCGGCCUAUUAAGUCAUACGUGAAAUCCCUCAGCUUAACUGGGGAACUGCGUGUGAUACUGGAUGGCUUGGAUUUGGGAGAGGGAUGCGGAAUUCCAGGUGUAGCGGUGAAAUGCGUAGAUAUCUGGAGGAACACCGGUGGCGAAGGCGGCAUCCUGGACCAAUAUUGACGCUGAGGAGCGAAAGCCAGGGGAGCAAACGGG
RNAcentral lists this ribosomal RNA (240 nucleotides) under uncultured bacterium. RNAcentral's name for it is "partial 16S ribosomal RNA". It matches the Rfam family "Bacterial small subunit ribosomal RNA", at positions 537 to 776 of the family's 1533-position model. The record is from RNAcentral.